CAGUCGCCGCGGUAAUACAGAGGGUGCGAGCGUUAAUCGGAUUUACUGGGCGUAAAGCGUCGUAGGCGGCUUCUUAAGUCGGAUGUGAAAUCCCUGAGCUUAACUUAGGAAUUGCAUUCGAUACUGGGAAGCUAGAGUAUGGGAGAGGAUGGUAGAAUUCCAGGUGUAGCGGUGAAAUGCGUAGAGAUCUGGAGGAAUACCGAUGGCGAAGGCAGCCAUCUGGCCUAAUACUGACGCUGAGGUACGAAAGCAUGGGGAGCAAACAGGAUUAGAUACCCCAGUAGUCCCUGUCUCUUAUACA
This 301-nucleotide ribosomal RNA is filed under the name uncultured bacterium. RNAcentral's name for it is "partial 16S ribosomal RNA". It matches the Rfam family "Bacterial small subunit ribosomal RNA", at positions 509 to 808 of the family's 1533-position model. The record is from RNAcentral.